GUGAUUAUAGCUCAGUAGGUAGAGCAAGACACUGUGAAUGUAAAGGCCUCGGGUUCGAAACCCGAUAAUCACC
This 73-nucleotide transfer RNA is filed under the name Pseudomonadota bacterium. RNAcentral describes it as "Proteobacteria bacterium (activated sludge metagenome) tRNA-His". It matches the Rfam family "tRNA". From Rfam's summary of the family: Transfer RNA (tRNA) molecules are approximately 80 nucleotides in length. Their secondary structure includes four short double-helical elements and three loops (D, anti-codon, and T loops). Further hydrogen bonds mediate the characteristic L-shaped molecular structure. tRNAs have two regions of fundamental functional importance: the anti-codon, which is responsible for specific mRNA codon recognition, and the 3' end, to which the tRNAs corresponding amino acid is attached (by aminoacyl-tRNA synthetases). tRNAs cope with the degeneracy of the genetic code in two manners: having more than one tRNA (with a specific anti-codon) for a particular amino acid; and 'wobble' base-pairing, i.e. permitting non-standard base-pairing at the 3rd anti-codon position. The record is from RNAcentral. Lineage: Bacteria; Pseudomonadati; Pseudomonadota.